UACAGAGGGUGCAAGCGUUAAUCGGAAUUACUGGGCGUAAAGCGCGCGUAGGCGGCUUUGUAAGUUAGGGGUGAAAUCCCGGAGCUCAACUCCGGAACUGCCUCUAAGACUGCAUCGCUUGAAUCCGGGAGAGGUGAGUGGAAUUCCGAGUGUAGAGGUGAAAUGCGUAGAUAUCAGGAGGAAUACCGGUGGCGAAAGCGACUCUCUGGACGGCAACUGACGCUGAGGCACGAAAGCGUGGGGAGCAAACAGG
RNAcentral lists this ribosomal RNA (253 nucleotides) under uncultured bacterium. Its description in RNAcentral is "partial 16S ribosomal RNA". It matches the Rfam family "Bacterial small subunit ribosomal RNA", at positions 524 to 776 of the family's 1533-position model. The record is from RNAcentral.